RNAcentral lists this long non-coding RNA (199 nucleotides) under Elaeis guineensis (African oil palm). RNAcentral's name for it is "long non-coding RNA (EGUI_LNC077026)". The record is from RNAcentral. Lineage: Eukaryota; Viridiplantae; Streptophyta; Magnoliopsida; Arecales; Arecaceae.
GUUGCUCAGACUCUCCCAAUCUACAUACAUAGAUACUAUACUGAAACGAUUCAGCAUGAAGAUUUUAAAAAAGGCUAUCUUCUGAUAGGCCAAAGAAAUUUUUUUUUGAAAGAAGAUUAUCCGACAACUCCUUAAGAGAGAGAGCGUAUGAGUAGAGUUCCAUAUGCUUCGGUAGUGGGUUCUAUUAUGUAUGCAAUGA